RNAcentral lists this ribosomal RNA (465 nucleotides) under Vreelandella stevensii. Its description in RNAcentral is "partial 16S ribosomal RNA". It matches the Rfam family "Bacterial small subunit ribosomal RNA", at positions 338 to 795 of the family's 1533-position model. The record is from RNAcentral. Lineage: Bacteria; Pseudomonadati; Pseudomonadota; Gammaproteobacteria; Oceanospirillales; Halomonadaceae.
CCUACGGGUGGCAGCAGUGGGGAAUAUUGGACAAUGGGCGAAAGCCUGAUCCAGCCAUGCCGCGUGUGUGAAGAAGGCCUUCGGGUUGUAAAGCACUUUCAGUGGGGAAGAAAGCCUUGGGGCUAAUACCCUCGAGGAAGGACAUCACCCACAGAAGAAGCACCGGCUAACUCCGGGCCAGCAGCCGCGGUAAUACGGAGGGUGCGAGCGUUAAUCGGAAUUACUGGGCGUAAAGCGCGCGUAGGCGGUCUGAUAAGCCGGUUGUGAAAGCCCCGGGCUCAACCUGGGAACGGCAUCCGGAACUGUCAGGCUAGAGUGCAGGAGAGGAAGGUAGAAUUCCCGGUGUAGCGGUGAAAUGCGUAGAGAUCGGGAGGAAUACCAGUGGCGAAGGCGGCCUUCUGGACUGACACUGACGCUGAGGUGCGAAAGCGUGGGUAGCAAACAGGAUUAGAUACCCGAGUAGUC